This 279-nucleotide long non-coding RNA is filed under the name Capsella rubella. Its description in RNAcentral is "long non-coding RNA (CRUB_LNC002475)". Lineage: Eukaryota; Viridiplantae; Streptophyta; Magnoliopsida; Brassicales; Brassicaceae. The record is from RNAcentral.
UUUUUUUUUUUUGACAAAAGACUUUCAAUUAAAAAAAGGUAACCAUAUUACACACUAAGCUACGACAUAACUAAUUAUAUGAUAAUUUAGGUUAUAAAAAGUAUAAAUAAGCAAUUGUUUACUGUUGUUUAGUAGUAUACAUGUGAGAUAUAUUAAUAAAAAAACACUGGAGGUUUUUGGUACUAAAUGGUGUAUAUAAUCGUGAAAAUAAUAAACUUAUUAAAUAACACAUGUAACAUGAUGUAAAAAAAUAAAAAUAAAAAAUAAAUAACAAGUAAG